CGCGUGUGGAACCUGCCUUUCAGAGGGGGACAACAGCUGGAAACGGCUGCUAAUACCGCAUAACACAUAGGUGUCGCAUGGCAUUUAUGUCAAAGAUUUAUCGCUGAGAGAUGGCCUCGCGUCUGAUUAGCUAGUUGGUAGGGUAACGGCCUACCAAGGCGACGAUCAGUAGCCGGACUGAGAGGUUGGCCGGCCACAUUGGGACUGAGAUACGGCCCAGACUCCUACGGGAGGCAGCAG
This 240-nucleotide ribosomal RNA is filed under the name uncultured bacterium. Its description in RNAcentral is "partial 16S ribosomal RNA". It matches the Rfam family "Bacterial small subunit ribosomal RNA", at positions 114 to 354 of the family's 1533-position model. The record is from RNAcentral.